RNAcentral lists this ribosomal RNA (395 nucleotides) under uncultured bacterium. RNAcentral describes it as "bacterial SSU rRNA". It matches the Rfam family "Bacterial small subunit ribosomal RNA", at positions 362 to 770 of the family's 1533-position model. The record is from RNAcentral.
UAUUGGACAAUGGGGGGGAACCCUGAUCCAGCGACGCCGCGUGAGCGAAGAAGUAUUUCGGUAUGUUAAGCCCUAUCAGCAGGGAAGAAAGAAAUGACGGUACCUGACUAAGAAGCACCGGCUUCCUACGUGCCAGCAGCCGCGGUAAUACGUAGGGGGCAAGCGUUAUCCGGAUUUACUGGGUGUAAAGGGAGCGUAGACGGCGAUGCAAGUCUGAAGUGAAAGGCGGGGGCCCAACCCCCGGACUGCUUUGGAAACUGUAUGGCUGGAGUGCAGGAGAGGUAAGUGGAAUUCCUAGUGUAGCGGUGAAAUGCGUAGAUAUUAGGAGGAACACCAGUGGCGAAGGCGGCUUACUGAACUGUAACUGACGUUGAGGCUCGAAAGCGUGGGGAGCA